AGACGGAGGUGGCAAGCGUUGCUCGGAUUUACUGGGUGUGAAGGGCUCGUAGGCGGUUCUGUAAGCCUCGCUUGAAAGGUUCUGGCUCAACCAGGACAUGUGGUGGGGAACUGCAGAACUCGAGGACGGAAGAGGCGAAUGGAAUUCCCGGUGUAAGGGUGAAAUCUGUAGAUAUCGGGAGGAACACCAGUGGCGAAGGCGGUUCGCUGGUCCGUUUCUGACGCUGAGGAGCGAAAGCUAGGGGAGCAAACAGGAGUAGAAACCCCAGUAGUCC
This 274-nucleotide ribosomal RNA is filed under the name uncultured bacterium. RNAcentral describes it as "partial 16S ribosomal RNA". It matches the Rfam family "Bacterial small subunit ribosomal RNA", at positions 523 to 796 of the family's 1533-position model. The record is from RNAcentral.